RNAcentral lists this long non-coding RNA (535 nucleotides) under Nicotiana benthamiana. Its description in RNAcentral is "long non-coding RNA (NBEN_LNC036828)". Lineage: Eukaryota; Viridiplantae; Streptophyta; Magnoliopsida; Solanales; Solanaceae. The record is from RNAcentral.
CAGUUAAUUAUUUAGGGGCUGCAACCUUGUUUGUUUACUCGUAUUCAGUACUAUAAGUACACCCAACUCUCUUUUCAAGACACGAACACAUUGCAUAUCGCAAACACACACACAUACAUGGUAAUCACAUUGCUCUCUCUUAUGCUAUUUCUCUCGUUUUCUCUCCUGUGCUGUUGCUGCUCCCUACUCCUGACUGUCAUUUGCCAGUUGAAAGGCUAAGGCUAAUAUCGUGCUUGUAUUUGGCUCUUGCAUUCUUCUGUGUUCUCUUUGUUGCUGGUAUGUGCUGAUUGAAUUCCAUGCUCCAAACCAAUAUGUUUAUUACUACAUGCUCAUGAUUACUGUUCAACUGUCAUAAUUGAAUUCUAUUGCUACUUACUUUGUAGCUAAAUCCGACUACGUCGAGGUCACUUAAAGCUUUUGGUUUUGUGAGUUUGCAUGUGAUAUAUUUUUCCCCUUUACCCAUUACCCUUGUGUGCAACCCUCCAACUUAUUCUUUUGUAAGCUCUUUGAACUACCAACUUUCUUCAUCUUCUUG